RNAcentral lists this long non-coding RNA (579 nucleotides) under Vulpes vulpes (red fox). RNAcentral describes it as "lncRNA (ENSVVUG00000005786.1)". Lineage: Eukaryota; Metazoa; Chordata; Mammalia; Carnivora; Canidae. The record is from RNAcentral.
AUGCCUGAUGGCCCAGGAGGUCAGCUGAAGCAGGGAGUCACAGGGACCGAGCAGCCUAACGCUGGUCUCCUGACUGGGCUGUGGGGUGCAGAGGACACACGGUUUUGUACUGUCAUGCUGCACACACGGGCCUGUGAGUGCACCACAUAUGGAGCCUCGUACGGAACAUGGCUGUGGCAUCUGGGGACUGCACAGGGACAGGCCGUGCCUGGAGAUGGUGAGGAGCUCGCCUGGGGGCUGCCUCCACUAGCAAACCAGCCCACGUGGAGCUGCAUAGCGGCCUCUGCCGCCUUCAUGUCCCCUCACUGCGCCCACCCUGCUCACCUAGCACCAGCUGCCAGACAUCCCCUGUGCCCAGAACCUGCUGAGGUCACUCACACUACUCCCAAACCUGCUACACUCUGCCUCACCUGUUCCUUCCCAUGGAAGUUACAGUAACUGGCCAGCUGACCCUGGUGCUCCCGUGAGCCCCCCAACCCCAGCAGGUCCACCCCUUGGGGACUGUGGGUAACGAGCUGCCUUCUGAUCUGAUGGCUGCCUCCCACACCCAAGUGGUAAUAAAACCUACAUUUUCGGGCA